CUUAUUCUAAGGCGCUUGAGAGAACUCUGGAGAAGGAACUCGGCAAAUUGACACCGUAACUUCGGAAGAAGGUGUGCCUUUAGUAGGUGAACCAUUUACUUGGGGAGCCCAAUGAGGCCGCAGAGAAUCGGUGGCUGCAACUGUUUAUUAAAAACACAGCACUCUGCAAAGACGAAAGUCGACGUAUAGGGUGUGACUCCUGCCCGGUGCUGGAAGAUUAAAUGAUGGGGUGCAAGCUCUUGACUGAAGUCCCAGUAAACGGCGGCCGUAACGAUAACGGUCCUAAGGUAGCGAAAUUCCUUGUCGGGUAAGUUCCGACCUGCACGAAUGGAGUAAUGAUGGCCACACUGUCUCCUCCAGAGACUCAGCGAAGUUGAAAUGUUUGUGAUGAUGCAAUCUCCCCGCGGAAAGACGGAAAGACCCCAUGAACCUUUACUGUAGCUUUACAUUGGACUUUGAACAGAUCUGUGUAGGAUAGGUGGGAGGCUUUGAAGAGUGGACGCUAGUUUGCUUGGAGCCAACGUUGAAAUACCACCCUGGUGUGUUUGAGGUUCUAACCUUGGUCCCUUAUCGGGAUUGGGGACAGUGUAUGGCGGGCAGUUUGACUGGGGCGGUCUCCUCCCAAAGUGUAACGGAGGAGUUCGAAGGUACGCUAAAUACGGUCGGAAAUCGUGUUGAUAGUGCAUUGGCAUAAGCGUGCUUGACUGCGAGACUGACUAGUCGAGCAGGUACGAAAGUAGGACAAAGUGAUCCGGUGGUUCUGUAUGGAAGGGCCAUCGCUCAACGGAUAAAAGGUACUCUGGGGAUAACAGGCUGAUACCGCCCAAGAGUUCAUAUCGACGGCGGUGUUUGGCACCUCGAUGUCGGCUCAUCUCAUCCUGGGGCUGUAGCCGGUCCCAAGGGUAUGGCUGUUCGCCAUUUAAAGAGGUACGUGAGCUGGGUUUAAAACGUCGUGAGACAGUUUGGUCCCUAUCUUCCGUGGGCGCUGCAAGAUUGAGAGAGCCUGCUCCUAGUACGAGAGGACCGGAGUGGACGCACCUCUGGUGUAUCGGUUGUCACGCCAGUGGCAUCGCCGAGUAGCUAAGUGCGGAAGAGAUAACCGCUGAAAGCAUCUGAGCGGGAAACUCGUCUCAAGAUGAGUCUUGCCGGGGCCUAGAGCCCCCUGAAGGGUCGUUCGAGACCAGGACGUUGAUAGGCUGGGUGUGGAAGCGCGGUAACGCGUUAAGCUAACCAGUACUAAUUGCCCGUGAGGCUUGACAC
Molecule: ribosomal RNA, 1260 nt
Filed under: metagenome
Description: bacterial LSU rRNA
Rfam family: Bacterial large subunit ribosomal RNA
Source: RNAcentral